UUCGCUUUUACGACGAAAUUAUUUCCUCGCUAACUUACGACGAAUUAGCGAGGAUAUAUGCGUUACGACAAACGUAUAACGACGAAACGGGUUUCCUCGCUAAUUCGUCGUAACACUGCUUUUACGACGAAUUAGCGAGGAAAACUGCCCUCGUAAAACUUGUGUUUUCUUGUAGUGCAAGCUUAAUGCAAGCAUCACUACAAAUGAACAAAUCCUAGCUGAUGUUGAGAUGCUUGAUAAGCUUCAGAAAGAGUUUGAAGCUCAAAACAUUGGCGAUUGAUGUCUGGAUGUUUGAGUUUGAAGGCUGAAGCUUGAAAGUUCAAGGCUGAAGAUUGAAGUAUGAAAGAGUUGGUUUUUAUUUUAUUGAAUAAUGUUGCUUUUAGACUUGGUUUUCACUUGGGUAUUGGUUAUUCUCGUUUGGUUUUUCAUUUCAAUAACUAUGAUCUUUGCAUCACUUCUUUUUAAUAAAGUUUGAAAGUUGCUUUUAUCUGCGUCUGAGUACAAGUCGAUGUGUCUAUUCUUAUGUUUGUCUAUUUUUAUGUUAGCUUUACAACAUGUUUUUAGUUUAA
Brassica rapa (field mustard) is the source of this 569-nucleotide long non-coding RNA. RefSeq lists it as uncharacterized. NCBI's taxonomy places the organism in Eukaryota, Viridiplantae, Streptophyta, Magnoliopsida, Brassicales, Brassicaceae. The record is from RefSeq and is a predicted model, not a curated record.